This 46-nucleotide non-coding RNA is filed under the name Schistosoma mansoni. The record is from RNAcentral. Lineage: Eukaryota; Metazoa; Platyhelminthes; Trematoda; Strigeidida; Schistosomatidae.
GCACUGCUGAGGAGUCGCAUAAUAGGACGAAACGGUCGUCCAGCGC